CACGUAGGGUGCGAGCGUUGUCCGGAAUUAUUGGGCGUAAAGAGCUCGUAGGCGGUGUGUCGCGUCGGCCGUGAAAACCUGCAGCUUAACUGUGGGCUUGCGGUCGAUACGGGCAUCACUGGAGUUCGGCAGGGGAGACUGGAAUUCCUGGUGUAGCGGUGAAAUGUGUAGAGAUCGGGAGGAACACCGGUGGCGAAGGCGGGUCUCUGGGCAAUUCCUGACGCUGAGGCGCGAAAGCGUGGGGAGCAAACGGG
This 254-nucleotide ribosomal RNA is filed under the name uncultured bacterium. Its description in RNAcentral is "partial 16S ribosomal RNA". It matches the Rfam family "Bacterial small subunit ribosomal RNA", at positions 524 to 776 of the family's 1533-position model. The record is from RNAcentral.